AGGUGCUUGCACCGGGUGGAUGAUUGGCGAACGGGUGAGUAAUACGUGAGUGACCUGCCUUUGACUCUGGGAUAAGCCUGGGAAACUGGGUCUAAUACCGGAUGCGACUACUGCCCGCAUGGGCUGGUGGUGGAAAGGGUUAUGUACUGGUCUUAGAUGGGCUCACGGCCUAUCAGCUGGUUGGUGGGGUAAUGGCCUACCAAGGCGACGACGGGUAGCCGGCCUGAAGGGUGACCGCCACACUGGGACUGAACACGGCCCAGACUCCUACGGGAGGCAGCAGUGGGGAAUAUUGCACAAUGGGCGCAAGCCUGAUGCAGCGACGCCGCGUGAGGGAUGACGGCCUUCGGGUUGUAAACCUCUUUCAGCAGGGAAGAAGCGGAAGUGACGGUACCUGCAGAAGAAGCGCCGGCUAACUACGUGCCAGCAGCCGCGGUAAUACGUAGGGCGCAAGCGUUGUCCGGAAUUUGUGCGUAAUGAGCUCGUAGGCGGCUUGUCGCGUCUGCUGUGAAAAGCCCGGGGCUUAACUCCGGGUGUGCAGUGGGUACGGGCAGGGCUAGAGUGCAGUAGGGGUAACUGGAAUUCCUGAGCGGGAAAUGCGCAGAUAUCAGGAGGAACACCAUGGCUGAAGGCAGGUUACUGGGCCUG
RNAcentral lists this ribosomal RNA (648 nucleotides) under Kocuria sp. 20N3. Its description in RNAcentral is "bacterial SSU rRNA". It matches the Rfam family "Bacterial small subunit ribosomal RNA", at positions 74 to 737 of the family's 1533-position model. The record is from RNAcentral. Lineage: Bacteria; Bacillati; Actinomycetota; Actinomycetes; Micrococcales; Micrococcaceae.